UCCGGUUUGUCACCGGCAGUCAUCCUAGAGUGCCCACCCGAAGUGCUGGCAACUAAGAUCAAGGGUUGCGCUCGUUGCGGGACUUGACCCAACAUCUCACGACACGAGCUGACGACAACCAUGCACCACCUGUCUCCCCUGUCCCCGAAGGGCCGGCCCUAUCUCUAGGACUUUCAGGGGGAUGUCAAGACCUGGUAAGGUUCUUCGCGUUGCUUCGAAUUAAACCACAUACUCCACUGCUUGUGCGGGUCCCCGUCAAUUCCUUUGAGUUUCAGUCUUGCGACCGUACUCCCCAGGCGGAGUGCUUACUGUGUUAACUUCGGCACCAAGGGUAUCGAAACCCCUAACACCUAGCACUCAUCGUUUACGGCGUGGACUAC
Molecule: unclassified non-coding RNA, 380 nt
Filed under: uncultured Paenibacillaceae bacterium
Lineage: Bacteria; Bacillati; Bacillota; Bacilli; Caryophanales; Paenibacillaceae
Description: contains 16S-23S intergenic spacer region
Source: RNAcentral